AUUCACACAUGUAACAAAAUUUUCACAUAUUAUCUAAAUCUCUCUGUCUCAGAUUAUUAGUCACAGUCAUUUCUAUAUUAUAAGUUAUAUUGGUUACUGAAGAAUGAUAAUAUAAAGGCAUAUAAGUAAACUGACCAUCGCUUGUCGGAGCCGGAGCAGGAGCUGCGGACUGAGCCUGUGCCAUUGGAAAAAAAAUGGAGAAAACUAUCCAUACGAUUGUAAGGGCUCCAAAGAAAAGUUUAGACACCGACAUUUUCAAGGUUGAGAUUUUCUCCCUCUCACUCUUCCCUUUAACUGCUUAAUUUGAUAUAUAAUAACCAAUUAUAUACUCAGUUUUAAAAGGAUUUGUACGUUCUUCCCUCCCUCAGUUAUGGGUGACGAUUUAGAGAGGGAAGAACAAGAGAAAGAAGAAAACGAAGGAAAAGAGAAAUUUGAACGAAAAGCUAGGCAAAAGCGAGAGAAGAGGUAAUGAGAAUUUUGAGAGCUUCUUUUGGCAUUUUAUUGAACAAUUAUUUUCUAGUUUGUGGACGACCCGCAUCCCUAGUGGUUUCUUUCAACAUUUAGCAGUCAGAUUUUUUUUUAAAAAUUGUUUAACUUUCAAUCCUGAACAGUUCUAAUGUGAAACUAUCAUCAGGAAAAGUUUUAAACAAUUUUAAAAUCAGUUUCAGAUUAAGAACAGGUUCAAAACAAGUUCAGGUUCGAGAUUUUAAAGAGUUUAUGGUUUCUGGUUUUAUUUUAUUUGCAGAGACAUGUUGCUAAGUAUAGCUACAUGGCUGCGGAUGGGGGUAUUUAAUAAUUUAUGGGUUUUAGAUGAGUUUUCGAUGAUACCUGAAAACUUUUGAUGGGUUGAUCGGUCUAUCAGUUAGAGAUCUUCCUGGUUAGCUGAUGGAUUGCUCGGAAUUAUUGUUUUUGUUGCUGCUUGUUGGAAUAGGAGACUGGUAUAUGGUUGAGAGAGAUUUUGGUUUCUGGAACAAAUUUUCCGCCUGUAUUGUAGCUGAGCGUGGGGGCGCGUCCGAACUCCGAUUGAUGCGGGGUUAGCGGCGUUGACUUCGUCUCGUCAAGAGCUUUAAUUUGGUAUCUGGCUCGUCGUCUGGAUCCACCGGAGUUGAGGGAUAGAGCUGUUUGAAGUUUGUCGGGAAUUAGGGUUUUUACUGCUCGAAUUUAUUUCUGGUUUUCAGGGUUAGGGUUUAUGAGAGCAACGUCGUGCUGAUAACGUGUUGUAAAUCAAGUGUUGGGAAAAUAUUUCUGUUAUCAUUACUGUCGACCAGAAGGUCCAUAUAUAUACAAGGUAUUAGUUCGUCAUAAGGUCAUGUUUAUCCUAACAAGAUAAGGAUAAGGAUAAACACUAUGUUACAGAUAUACAUGGAAUAUAUUAGAUAAACACAUAGUUUCUGAUUGUCUUUAUCAUGUCCCGGAUUGGGCCUGCAGUACGGGCUGGUACAUGGUCGAUCAUUUGAUUUAUAACAAAAUAAAGGAUCGAGAAGCGAGGAACUGGUCAGCAGGUUGACUUUCCAAAUUAUUUGACCAAAGACCAGUCUCACUUCUCCAUUCUAUUACUGCCAGAUCAGCUUCCAACGUUCUUCAGUCAAAAAGUCAAACACUGUUUCUCUCACGAAAUCCUCUUUAUAUUCCCCUCUUUCAAAUAUAUCUUCUACGAGCCAUGCACAAUACACAUACAUCCUCUUAAUAACACAUUUUUUGUACCACUUUUAAUCCAUAUACCAUAUUAUUUCACUCUCUUAACGUAAUGGAGAGGAAAAGUAAUAGUGGAGAGUGGGAGAAGAUGAAGAAAGAGAUCAGCGAGCUGAUGACAGAAGGAAGAGACUAUGCUCACGAGCUCAAGUCUCAGCUCGGCUCUUCUUCAUCUGAUCAAGAAUCACGUGAACAUUUGGCCAAGAAGAUUCUUGAAUCUUACCACAAGUCUCUAACCAUUAUGAACCACUCCGGCGAACUCGACCAAGUUUCUCCCCAUAUCCACGGUGGAGGAAGCCCCAAGAGCGAUGAUUCCGACCAAGAACCCCACCAAAACAUGAAGAGGUAUAGUAUAAAGUAUAAACUGUCAUUUUUUAUGAAAUUUUUGAAUUUGGAUAAUGUAACAACGGCGAUACUAGUUAGCAUAAACCACUAAACUUGUUACGAAUGUGCCUUUCUAUUUAUGUUUUUUUUUGCAUAUACAAACUCCUAACUAUUUGAAAUGUGAAAUUUUGAAGUUCAAAGAAGUCGAUGCCAAGGUGGGCCGAAAAAGUCAGAAUUACCCGUGGAGCUGAGAUUGAUAGAACUCUUGACGAUGGGUUCAGUUGGAGAAAGUACGGCCAAAAGGAUAUCCUCGGAGCCAAGUUUCCAAGGUUAGUCUCGUAAAUUACCUCUGCAUAGUUCCUCAACUUAACGUGUUCAUUUAUUAAUCACCGACAAACUUGUGCCUGGAAAUGUGACAGAAACAUAGUAGUAUUACAUAAGUACCAAACUUUUAUAAUCAUAAAUUCAUAUCGUACGAGAAAACAAAAUCAUAUAUUAUAAUUUCCUUUCUUUUUUCUGGUACAGGGGAUACUAUAGAUGCACGUAUAGAAAAUCUCAAGGAUGUGAAGCCACCAAACAAGUCCAGAGAUCCAACGAAAAUCAUCAGAUGCUCUUUGAGAUUAGUUACCGAGGAAUACAUUCUUGCUCCCAAGCCGCAAAUGUACGUUCAGCCAUUCCGGUGCGAGUUCUUGAACCAAACCAGCCACAAGAACACGAAAAUCUUGAGAUGGUGAAGGAAAGUCUAGACGCUGGUCAUCACAACUACAAUCAUCAAGCACAUUUGCAUCAAACCCUUCAAUAUCAUUUGUCCUCUACCCCAACUCUAGAGAGUAACAAUAUGAUGCUUCAACUGGCAGAUCAGAACAUUGACUUAUUCGGAUCUACGAGUUUCUCUAGUGAUCUAGGAGCUAAUGUCAACUAUGAUUAUCUGGCUUCUCACAAUGUUGGCUCGGUUUCUCACUCUACAUCAAACUCUCCUUCGGAAUCUCCGUUUGAAAGCUUUGAUCCAAAUAAUCCAUUCAAAGGUUUUGGAGGGUUCUAAUCUUAGUUAAUCACUAAGAGAAAGAGGUUGAAACUUUAUGUGAUCUAUUAAGAGAGAUCGUUUAUUCAUAAUAGCUAAUCAAUUUCCAAAUCAAUAGUCCUACUUAGUUUCUAAAUCAUGUUUUUGUUUGCUUAUUAAAUAAGCCUUAUUUUGAGAUCCAUGUUUCUUUUACCAAAUGUUGUUGCAACAAGUUUGAAUCUUUCUAUUGCAAAAUAAAGCUUUCUUUGUUUUAGUUUUUGUCGGUCAAUGUCAGAGAUUGAUUUUUACAAAGCGUUUCUUUAAAAGUCAAUACGAACUCACAGUGGCAUCAAUAAUUGUUUUGGGUUUUAAUUUAAAAAUUUAAGUUAUAAAGAAUGUCCCUGAAGAUACUGAAUAUGGGAAUGAAGAAAGAUGUAAGGUGAUGAAAUAUAUUUCCAACAGUUGACGCACAUCGACGUUAUACAAAUGAACUUCAAAAUUGUAUCACUCCAAAUAUUAGAAAACCUCGUUAAUUUCUCUACCACAUAACUUUUAUGGUCUCCAUUCAAUUAUAAUCAAAAUGAGAAAAUAUAAUUAAACUAAAUAGAGACCAAAAUUAAAAUGACAAAAGGAUUAAUGGAUGUAAUAAGUGAGGACCAAAGCCACCAACAUAAGGACAUAUGCGAUGCCUUGGUCUAUUGUUGUUCCUGCAAAUGAAAACAAAAGGUUAUCAAAAUAUAGAGAGUUGUAAAAUUGUAUACUAGUUGGUUAAGGAGAGUUACUACUCAGCAAUUUCCUUAUUUUCAACUAAUGCCAUAUGUUAAUUAGUUUUUCCUUGGGAGCAUCCAUGUUUGAGAAGUUUAAGAUAUAUGCAUUCACACAUGUAACAAAAUUUUCACAUAUUAUCUAAAUCUCUCUGUCUCAGAUUAUUAGUCACAGUCAUUUCUAUAUUAUAAGUUAUAUUGGUUACUGAAGAAUGAUAAUAUAAAGGCAUAUAAGUAAACUGACCAUCGCUUGUCGGAGCCGGAGCAGGAGCUGCGGACUGAGCCUGUGCCAUUGGAAAAAAAAUGGAGAAAACUAUCCAUACGAUUGUAAGGGCUCCAAAGAAAAGUUUAGACACCGACAUUUUCAAGGUUGAGAUUUUCUCCCUCUCACUCUUCCCUUUAACUGCUUAAUUUGAUAUAUAAUAACCAAUUAUAUACUCAGUUUUAAAAGGAUUUGUACGUUCUUCCCUCCCUCAGUUAUGGGUGACGAUUUAGAGAGGGAAGAACAAGAGAAAGAAG
RNAcentral lists this long non-coding RNA (4299 nucleotides) under Brassica napus (rape). RNAcentral's name for it is "long non-coding RNA (BNAP_LNC020640)". Lineage: Eukaryota; Viridiplantae; Streptophyta; Magnoliopsida; Brassicales; Brassicaceae. The record is from RNAcentral.